AACGAACGCUGGCGGCAUGCCUAACACAUGCAAGUCGAACGAAGUCUUCGGACUUAGUGGCGCACGGGUGCGUAACGCGUGGGAAUCUGCCCUUGGGUGCGGAAUAACUUCUCGAAAGGGAUGCUAAUACCGCAUAAUGUCGUAAGACCAAAGAUUUAUCGCCCAAGGAUGAGCCCGCGUAAGAUUAGCUAGUUGGUGGGGUAAAAGCCUACCAAGGCGACGAUCUUUAGCUGGUCUGAGAGGAUGAUCAGCCACACUGGGACUGAGACACGGCCCCAGACUCCUACGGGAGGCAACAGUGGGGAAUAUUGGACAAUGGGCGAAAGCCUGAUCCAGCAAUGCCGCGUGAGUGAUGAAGGCCC
Molecule: ribosomal RNA, 362 nt
Filed under: uncultured bacterium
Lineage: Bacteria
Description: bacterial SSU rRNA
Rfam family: Bacterial small subunit ribosomal RNA
Source: RNAcentral